GAGACACCCUUCUGGGGCAAGACUUGCUUCAGUCGGGCUUUGGUGCUCACUGAGUCUUCCCCCUGAGUGUGUCCCU
RNAcentral lists this microRNA precursor (76 nucleotides) under Myotis brandtii (Brandt's bat). RNAcentral describes it as "mir-9229 microRNA precursor family". It matches the Rfam family "mir-9229 microRNA precursor family". The record is from Rfam by way of RNAcentral. Lineage: Eukaryota; Metazoa; Chordata; Mammalia; Chiroptera; Vespertilionidae.